This is a long non-coding RNA of Labrus mixtus (cuckoo wrasse), 678 nucleotides long. RefSeq lists it as uncharacterized. The transcript has 3 exons. Lineage: Eukaryota; Metazoa; Chordata; Actinopteri; Labriformes; Labridae. The record is from RefSeq and is a predicted model, not a curated record.
CUCUUCUCCUCUGUUGCCCCCCGGUGGUGGAAUGAACUUCCAAACUCCAUUCGAUCUGUAGAGUCCCUCUGCACCUUUAAGAAAAAGCUAAAGACCCAGCUCUUUCAUGAAUACCUACUAACUAAUGAUGAUGGUCUCCAUAUUAUUGAUGAUUAUGAUGAUGGUAAUGAUGAUGGUUUUUGUUUGAUGACGAUGACUUAUAAGAUGGUUUCUAUACUGAUUAGAGCUCUCAAGAACUGCCGUCAAUGUUGUGCUUUGCCUCUGGUCACUUCCUGUCAGCACCUGUGUGUCCAAUCAGACUCAAAGCUGAUCGUUUGCUCUUACUGACAUUGUUCCCUUUUUUCUAGAUCCUUGCUUGUGUUGUACUUACUCUCUGAUGUACGUUGCUUUGGAUAAAAGCGUCUGCUAAGUGAAUUGUAGAAUUGUAGAAUUAUGUUUUUGAGGUUGAACAAGGAGAAGACCUGAAUCAAAGACUGGACAAACAUGAACAAAGCAGAUUUUUCUAUCACACUUAGCACUUAUAACAAAAUCCAGCUGGAUUCCAUAUUGAGGAACUGUGUCCCAUUUAUUUGAAUAUAAGUGAUCGCUGAGGUUGCUCCGAUAUAUCUCCUCAUCCAUACAGUGCUGUGAAUGAAGAGUGUUUGCUUUAUGGGUUCAUGAUACCAGAGCAUUAUAGUG